RNA transcript from Pistacia vera, 2619 nucleotides. RefSeq lists it as uncharacterized. The transcript is spliced from 10 exons. Lineage: Eukaryota; Viridiplantae; Streptophyta; Magnoliopsida; Sapindales; Anacardiaceae. The record is from RefSeq and is a predicted model, not a curated record.
AGCCUUACAAAAAUGACAGAUAAAUGAUAAUCAUCAAAAUUCUUUUUGAUAGUAGUUCAGUUUCACAGUUGAGUUACUGAAUAUGAUGAUGACAUAAAUCAUAUUUCAAAUAAAAAAUUAAAAAAAAUUUUUUUGAAGGGUCUAUUUUCAUAAAAUUUCUUAGAAGGAUGGCGCCAAGCCUAAAAUUCGUUAUUUUCCAUGUCCACCCAUUCUGCAAGCCUUCUUCAGUUACAAGAUUAGAGAACAACUCUCUUCACGCUCACACAACACAAGUUCAUAAAUCAAACCAAAAAUCAAAUAAUUGCAUCGCUUCAAUAAAAAAUGCCCACUCAAGCCCUUACCCUUAACCAGUUUCCCAAUUCUUUCUCACAUUGUCGACGGCAAAACCCCGUUCUUUCUACGCCUUCCGUUUCUUUAAACGUUUCACGAUCGAAUGAAACUAUGAACAUGCGUCUAUCACGCGAGAGGAAGAGGAGUUCUAUAAUGUCGUUUUCAGCUGAGCAGAGCUCCAGUUUCAGUGUGGAACAAAGGAGAAAAGUGGUAGAACAUAUAUGUCUACUCAAAGCAAAGAAAGAUUUAUCUGAUGAAGAAGAGAACAAUAUGCUUGAUUAUCUUUAUACAUCGCAAUAUCAGAUGGCGGGUAUCGUUGCAAUCUCUUUGGGUCGCAUCUCUAAUAAAAAUACUGAAAAUUAUACUCAUGCUGUCUUCAUGCGUUUCCAAAGAAAGGAAGACCUACUGAAGUUCUAUGACAAUUCUUUUUACUUGAAAGUUCUCAAGGAGCAUGUGACGCCUUACUGCCAUGGAAUGAUUAACGUGGAUUUUGAAUCGGAAGUUGAAGAUGAUAUCCUUCCCAUAUUUCGUAAAGGAGAGGAGUUCAACUUUGGUGUAGAGUUUGUGCUUCUAAUAGCAUUUGCUCAGAGUGCAUUUGGUGGACCUGUAGAAGAUGCAUUGGCAUCACUUGAAAAACUGACUGCUGAUUUUCCAUCUCUAAUUGUCCAAACUACUCAGGGUUCAAAUAUUAAUCCCAGCAGUGAGGAAUUCUCACAUGGAGUAGUAAUACGGUUUCGAUCACUUGAAGCUUUUGAGAUAUUUUUGAGCAGCGCAGAAUACAAAAUGUGGAGCACCAAAUUUGAACCCUUCAUCAGGAAAAAGCUUCCCAUUCAUUUCUCUGUUGAUCCUGUGGGUAAAGAGAUUAUGUAGCAAGGAUCCAUGUUUUUGCAGUUUAUUUUCCUGCUCAUAUAAGCUGAGGAAUUAUGGAAGGAUACAUGCAUCUUAUAUGAUUCAAUGAAUGCUUGCAAUGGUUGAAAACAAUUCCAGCUCAGUGGCCUCCAGCUUUCUGGCAUCAAGCACAUAACUGCCUUCAACAAUGCAUGUUAAAACAUCAGAGGUUUUAUGUUUGGCUAUACCUGGGUUCUAUGGAUAUUGAGAGUUUGUCUUUCUUGUCUAGUUAAAAGGUUUGGAUUCUUGUGUAUGCGGUUAAAAGUGAACUAGUUCAUAAUCUGUCCCUCCUACAAAAAUCCUAGUGGAAACGCAAUUUAUACUGGAUAAUUCCAAUUAAUCUAAUCAGUUACAACUUAAAGAGACUAGGAUGCACCAUGCAGGAAGAAAGCAUCUCCCUGUCCUAACUCCAUGCUCCUCUCAGCCUUCCUGGGAACACAUCCAUCCCCCUUUUUGGUAAGAUAUUCAGAUCAUGUAUCAAACGGGAGAAAAGCUUCUGAUUUCAAAGAUGCAUUUAGUGAACAGUUCGAUCUGUCCAUUUGAAAAAUGUGUUUGUCUAACUAUGACUUGCAGACUUAAAAAAUGGUUGCUGAACUUGAAUUUCCCUUCAGACUUGGCUGUUUCUAAACAGAAGAGGAAUAUAAUAAUGCAUGUAUAGAUAGCAAUGAUGCAUGAAUUGAACUCGUGUUUCUAUUCUUUUAUUUAAUCAUAGAAGUUAUGUCUUGAAUUCUGCCAAUAUUUAAUUGGUUGACCGAUUUUAGAGAAUUAUGCUAUAAAUUUCUGAAAUCUGUAUAAAGAGUAAAUGUCAAGAAUUGGGUUUGGUCCUCUUCGAAGAAACUCCAUAUAUUAGGUCUAUCUCCCCUCCACGGAUUUCUUGGCAGCAUUUACGGAGGUUUACCAUGGAAAUUGGGAACUUUGAAUUUGUUUUGAGGCCGGUCUCCUCAUAUUCUUCACCUGCAAUUCUCUGGAUAUAGCAGGAACUCAAGAACUGGUUCCAAAUGGGUAUGAUGAUCAACAUGAGAAAUAGCAGACAAGGACUUUGAGUUUGAGUAGCCAUAUUUAAAUGUUGAACAUCUAAGAACCGUUGGCUCCUAUCCUAUGAUUCACAAUGUACAAAUAAUUUUGUCAAAAGCAUGUUGUGAUUUAAGACAUAAAUAUGCCUUGACCGUAGAUGAUGAAAAGUAUGAGAGUUCCAGAAUCGCUAUAGCAUCAAAAAUACAAAGUAUGAUUUGGUCCUUUGGUGUGGAGUGGGGUUGCGAAUAUGAACGCCUGUGUCUGUGUCUGCUUUUGAGGUUGUUGUUGGCUUUGACUUUGCAUCAACUGCAUCUCUCAUUGAUUUUUUAAAAGAUGAAAUUGUGCCAUGAUAAUGGGUACAUUCAAGGAGACAAGAUAUGUUGUGAA